GCCGGGGAGCUCGGUUGUGAGGAGAGGGAACU
Molecule: transfer RNA, 32 nt
Filed under: Ditrichum plumbicola
Lineage: Eukaryota; Viridiplantae; Streptophyta; Bryopsida; Pseudoditrichales; Ditrichaceae
Description: partial transfer RNA-Phe
Source: RNAcentral